RNAcentral lists this ribosomal RNA (301 nucleotides) under uncultured bacterium. RNAcentral's name for it is "partial 16S ribosomal RNA". It matches the Rfam family "Bacterial small subunit ribosomal RNA", at positions 509 to 807 of the family's 1533-position model. The record is from RNAcentral.
CAGCAGCCGCGGUAAUACGAAGGGGGCUAGCGUUGUUCGGAUUUACUGGGCGUAAAGCGCACGUAGGCGGAUCGAUCAGUCAGGGGUGAAAUCCCAGAGCUCAACUCUGGAACUGCCUUUGAUACUGUCGAUCUGGAGUAUGGAAGAGGUGAGUGGAAUUCCGAGUGUAGAGGUGAAAUUCGUAGAUAUUCGGAGGAACACCAGUGGCGAAGGCGGCUCACUGGUCCAUUACUGACGCUGAGGUGCGAAAGCGUGGGGAGCAAACAGGAUUAGAUACCCCAGUAGUCCCUGUCUCUUAUAC